Molecule: unclassified non-coding RNA, 1575 nt
Filed under: Dimorphilus gyrociliatus
Lineage: Eukaryota; Metazoa; Annelida; Polychaeta; Dinophilidae
Description: glyceraldehyde-3-phosphate dehydrogenase
Source: RNAcentral
AAUAUCACAGCGCAUGCGUGUUCUGCCUUCCCCUUCGGUCAUUCGAGACAGUCGGAAGAUUUCGGUAGCAAGUUAAAAUCCGGUUUUUAUCAAAAAUCGAAUGACCUUCAAAGAACGAAAGAACGUUCUGUUAAAAUUCACAAAGUCAACUUUAUAUGUUGCAUAUAAUAUUGCAAAUAUACUUUAAUGCAAUCAUUAAAAGUAAUUUUUAUGUAAUUUAUUGCAUUAAAAUGUUGAACUUGAAGAAUUAAUUAUUUUUUCUCUACUCAAAAUAACAAAGCUGUCCCAGUAUAAUGAUAGAGAAAAACUAUUCAUUUCUAUUUAGUAUUUUGACAAUGACAAAUUACCAGCUUUAUCCUCAUUCAAAUUUGUCUUAAUUUCAGUCUAAAAAUUCAUCAUGUCUGAUUUGAAAAUUGGUAUCAACGGCUUUGGUCGUAUCGGAAGAUUGGUUAUGAGAGCCGCUUUGAUGAAGAACGUUGAUGUUGUUGCCAUCAACGAUCCCUUCAUUGAAUUAGAAUACAUGGUUUACAUGUUCAAAUAUGAUACUACUCAUGGUCGCUUCCCUGGUGAAGUUCGUCAUGAGAACGGCAAACUUAUCAUUAAUGGUAAGUCAAUCCGUGUCUUUAACGAAAUGAAGCCAACUGAAAUCAAGUGGGGAGAAGCUGGCGCCGAAUAUGUCGUCGAAUCCACUGGUGUUUUCACCACUCUCGAAAAGGCCAAGUGCCAUAUUGAAGGUGGAGCCAAGAGAGUUGUUAUCUCUGCUCCUUCUGCCGAUGCUCCCAUGUUUGUUAUGGGUGUCAACGAGGGCAAAUAUGACCCAAGCAAAGAUACCAUUGUUUCAAACGCCAGUUGCACAACCAACUGUUUGGCUCCUCUUGCUAAAGUUGUCAACGAUAAAUUCGGCAUUGUUGAAGGUUUGAUGACAACCGUACAUGCUUACACGGCCACCCAGAAGGUCGUAGAUGGACCCAGCAACAAGGACUGGAGAGGUGGAAGAACUGCAGCCCAAAACAUCAUCCCAUCCUCAACCGGAGCCGCUAAGGCCGUAGGAAAGGUCAUCCCUGACUUGAAUGGAAAAUUAACUGGCAUGGCCUUCCGUGUUCCAGUUCAAGAUGUUUCAGUUGUUGAUCUGACUUGCAGGUUACAAAAGCCAGCUUCCUACGAAGCCGUUAAAGCUGCAAUCAAGGCUGCCUCUGAAGGUGAAAUGAAAGGCGUUCUUGAAUAUACCGAAGAUGCUGUUGUUAGCUCCGACUUUAUCGGCUGCAAUGCUUCCUCUAUCUUUGAUGCAAAGGCUGGAAUUGCUCUAAACGACAACUUUGUAAAAUUGGUCAGCUGGUAUGAUAAUGAGUUUGGAUACAGCAACAGAGUAAUCGACCUUCUUAAGUACAUGAAGAGCAAGGAGUAAAGAAUGAACAUGUAUUUAGUAUCGUGUGUUUAAUGCAUGCUUAUUUUCCCUUACGUAGGGUAAUUUGGUGUUUAGAAACAGCCGGUAUUCUACUCCUUUUCGUUGCUAAUAAAUGUGCACAAAAAUUAAAUUAUGUCUUAUUUUACAAUAUUUCGGAAAAUAAAUCAGCA